AUUGAACGCUGGCGGCAGGCCUAACACAUGCAAGUCGAACGGUAACAGGAAGAAGCUUGCUUCUUUGCUGACGAGUGGCGGACGGGUGAGUAAUGUCUGGGAAACUGCCUGAUGGAGGGGGAUAACUACUGGAAACGGUAGCUAAUACCGCAUAACGUCGCAAGACCAAAGAGGGGGACCUUCGGGCCUCUUGCCAUCGGAUGUGCCCAGAUGGGAUUAGCUAGUAGGUGGGGUAACGGCUCACCUAGGCGACGAUCUCUAGCUGGUCUGAGAGGAUGACCAGCCACACUGGAACUGAGACACGGUCCCGACUCCUACGGGAGGCAGCAGUGGGGAAUAUUGCACAAUGGGCGCAAGCCUGAUGCAGCCAUGCCGCGUGUAUGAAGAAGGCCUUCGGGUUGUAAAGUACUUUCAGCGGGGAGGAAGGGAGUAAAGUUAAUACCUUUGCUCAUUGACGUUACCCGCAGAAGAAGCACCGGCUAACUCCGUG
Molecule: ribosomal RNA, 490 nt
Filed under: uncultured bacterium
Lineage: Bacteria
Description: partial 16S ribosomal RNA
Rfam family: Bacterial small subunit ribosomal RNA
Source: RNAcentral